RNAcentral lists this unclassified non-coding RNA (360 nucleotides) under uncultured Dothideomycetes. RNAcentral describes it as "sequence contains ITS2". The stretch from base 1 to 154 matches the Rfam family "5.8S ribosomal RNA". Lineage: Eukaryota; Fungi; Ascomycota; Dothideomycetes. The record is from RNAcentral.
AACUUUCGGCAAUGGAUCUCUUGGUUCUGGCAUCGAUGAAGAGCGCAGCGAAAUGCGAUAAGUAAUGUGAAUUGCAGAAUUCAGUGAAUCAUCGAAUCUUUGAACGCACAUUGCGCCCUUUGGCAUUCCGAGGGGCAUGCCUGUUCGAGCGUCAUUACACCACUCAAGCCUGGCUUGGUAUUGGGCGGCAGGGCUUUCCCCCGCCUCAAUUUCUUAGGCUAGACGACCCGUAUCUCAGCGUUGUGGCACUAAAUUCGCUGGCGGAAAAGGGUGGUCUGCGCCGUUAAACCUUCAAUCAAGGUUGACCUCGGAUCAGGUAGGGAUACCCGCUGAACUUAAGCAUAUCAAUAAGCGGAGGCU